AUGAACAUGGAGCGCCUGCCGGCGGAGCGCCACGGCCACCGGUACGAGCGGAUGCAGCCGGAGCCCGCCGCCGAGGGGGACGCGUCGGCCUCGUCCUCGUCCUCGCCGUCUGCGCCGGCGCGGCGGCCGGAGGUCCUCGCGGCGUCGGCGUCGUUCCGUCUGUCCGAGGCCACGCGGGUGUUCGAGGAGCUCCCGCGCGCCACCAUCUUCUCCGUCUCGCGCCCCGACGCCGGCGACAUCACACCCAUGCUCCUCUCCUACACCAUCGAGAUCAACUACAAGCAGUUUAGGUGGCGUCUUUUUAAGAAAGCUUCCCAGGUUCUCUAUCUACACUUUGCUUUGAAGCGACGUGAAUUUCUUGAAGAAUUCCACGAGAAGCAGGAACAGGUCAAAGAAUGGCUCCAAAAUUUGGGAAUUGGGGAUCAUAUGCCGGUAGUACAUGAUGAGGAUGAAGUGGACGACGUAAAUCUUCCUUCGCAACCCGAUGAAAGCUCCAUCAGAAAUAGAAAUGUUCCUUCAAUUGCUGUUUUGCCCGUCAUCCGACCAGCUCUUGGACGCCAACACUCAAUUUCUGACCGAGCAAAAGUUGCCAUGCAAGAAUAUCUUAACCAUUUUUUUGGAAACUUGGAUAUUGUGAACUCACGGGAGGUUUGCAAAUUUUUGGAGGUAUCAUGUUUGUCAUUUUUACCGGAAUACGGGCCUAAGCUAAAAGAAGAUUAUGUUUCAAUUGGUCAUUUGCCAAAAAUUCAGAAGGGCCAUAAAGAGAAGUGUUGUUCAUGUGGAUUGUUUAGUUGUUGCAAGAGCAGCUGGCAAAAGGUUUGGGUUGUCCUGAAGCCAGGAUUCUUGGCUUUACUCAAAGAUCCUUUUGAUCCAAAGCUGUUGGAUGUCAUUAUUUUUGACGCAUUGCCACAUAUGGAUAUAAAUGGAGAAGGUCAAAUCUCUCUAGCGAAGGAGAUCAAAGAACGCAACCCAUUGCAUUUUGGAUUCCAGGUAUCCUCUGGUGGCCGGACAAUCAAGUUACGAACAAAAAGCUCGUCUAAGGUUAAGGAUUGGGUUACUGCAAUCAAUGCUGCUAGACAACCUCCAGAGGGCUGGUGUUACCCUCAUCGCUUUGGUUCAUUUGCACCACCAAGGGGCCUGUUGGAAGAUGGGAGUAUGGCACAGUGGUUUAUAGAUGGGCAAGCUGGAUUUGAAGCAAUUGCUUCCUCGAUUGAGCAUGCUAAAUCCGAGAUAUUUAUUGCUGGCUGGUGGCUCUGCCCAGAAUUGUAUCUUCGACGUCCCUUUGAACAUCAUGGGUCAUCUAAGCUUGAUGCUCUACUGGAAGCAAGAGCGAAGCAGGGUGUGCAGAUUUACAUUCUAAUGUAUAAGGAGGUUGCUCUUGCCUUGAAAAUUAAUAGCUUGUACAGUAAAAAUAGGCUACUUAACAUUCAUGAGAAUGUCAAAGUUCUGCGCUACCCCGAUCAUUUCUCAAGUGGUGUAUACUUGUGGUCACAUCAUGAGAAAAUUGUGAUUGUCGAUAACCAAGUCUGCUAUAUUGGAGGACUUGAUCUGUGCUUUGGUCGCUAUGAUAGUCCUGAUCACAAAGUUACCGAUGUUCCUUCUACGAUAUGGCCAGGGAAAGACUACUACAACCCUAGGGAAUCUGAGCCGAAUUCUUGGGAGGACACUGCAAAAGAUGAACUUGACCGUACUAAAUAUCCACGUAUGCCCUGGCAUGACGUCCAGUGUGCUCUGUACGGCCCACCUUGUCGGGAUGUAGCAAGGCAUUUUGUCCAGCGUUGGAAUUAUGCAAAGAGGAAUAAAGCUCCAAAUGAGCAAGCAAUUCCGUUGCUGAUGCCUCAUCACCACAUGGUAAUUCCACAUUACAAGGGCAGAAGUAAAGAAGCAAAUGGUGAGGCUGAGGGUAAGCAAAAUCAUGAUGAGAAUGUUGAUGUUAAAAAGACAGCCUCCUUGGCAUCAAGUGCAUCAAGUCAGGACGUUCCAUUACUUUUACCUCAAGAGCUUGAACCUCAGGCAUUGCCUGAUGGAGAUUUAGCGAUGACUGGCUUUGACAUCAACCAGGCAGAUAACGCAAAUAAAACAGGCUUCAAACAGCCUUUGCUCAACCGAAAGGCAAAAUUCGAUGCUUCUCGUCAGGAUUUACCUAUGAGAGGUUUUGUAGACAAUCUCAGUUCCCCUGAGUCUGCAACUAUUAGGCGUUUUGAUUCAUCAAAGGAAGAUAGGCAUCACAUGGAUAAGAAAUGGUGGGAGAGGCAGGAGCAAGGAGAUCAGGUUGCUUCAGUACUUGACAUUGGGCAAGUUGGACCAAGGGCAACUUGUCGCUGUCAGGUUAUUAGAAGUGUUGGUCAAUGGUCAGCUGGAACCACUCAAAUUGAAGGAAGUAUCCACAAUGCCUACUUUUCUCUAAUUGAAAAGGCAGAACACUUUGUAUACAUUGAGAAUCAGUUUUUCAUAUCAGGCCUUUCAGGGGAUGACACAAUUAAAAACCGUGUGUUGGAAGCAUUGUACAGGCGUAUACUUCGAGCAGAGAGAGAGAAAAAGCGCUUUAAGGCCAUCAUCGUUAUACCCCUUUUACCGGGUUUUCAGGGAGGCAUUGAUGAUGGUGGAGCUGCAUCUGUGAGGGCGAUUAUGCACUGGCAGUACCGGACUAUCUGUAGAGGCCCUAAUUCCAUACUGCAGAAUCUGUAUGAUGUGAUUGGUCUUAAGGCCCAUGACUAUAUUUCCUUUCAUGGUCUCAGAGCACAUGGUAGGCUAACUGAUGGAGGUCCCGUGGUUACUAGCCAGAUUUAUGUACACAGCAAGUUAAUGAUCAUUGAUGAUCGCAUUGCAUUGAUUGGUUCAGCUAACAUAAAUGAUAGAAGCUUGCUUGGAUCAAGGGAUUCCGAGAUUGCUGUGGUCAUCGAAGAUAAAGAAGUUGUUAAUUCCAAAAUGGAUGGAAGACAUUGGGAAGCUGGUAAAUUCUCUCUCAGCCUACGGCUUUCUCUCUGGGCGGAGCACCUUGGCCUUCACCGAGGAGAGGUUAGCCACAUCAUGGAUCCUAUGGAUGAUACAACGUUCAAAAAUAUCUGGAUGGCCACUGCUAAGACAAAUACCACGAUUUACCAGGAUGUAUUCUCUUGUGUUCCCAAUGAUCUCAUCCAUUCAAGGACACAGUUUCGGCAAAGCAUUGCUUACUGGAAGGAAAAAAUUGGCCAUACUACAAUUGAUCUAGGCGUUGCCCAAGAAAAGCUCGAAACCUACCAGGAUGGUGAUCUCAAAGGUACUGACCCUAUGGAGAGAUUGCAGUUGGUCAGAGGCCACCUUGUAUCUUUCCCUUUGGAUUUCAUGUGCCAAGAGGACUUGAGACCAUAUUUCAGUGAAAGCGAGUAUUACACAUCUCCACAAGUUUUCCAUUAG
This 3396-nucleotide ribosomal RNA is filed under the name Triticum aestivum (bread wheat). Its description in RNAcentral is "partial small subunit ribosomal RNA". The record is from RNAcentral. Lineage: Eukaryota; Viridiplantae; Streptophyta; Magnoliopsida; Poales; Poaceae.